UUCCGAGACAGGUGCUGCAUGGCUGUCGUCAGCUCGUGCCGUGAGGUGUUGGGUUAAGUCCCGCAACCGAGCGCAACCCCUAUUGCCAGUUGCUACCAGGUAAUGCUGGGCACUCUGGUGAGACUGCCCCGGUUAACGGGGAGGAAGGUGGGGACGACGUCAAGUCAUCAUGGCCCUUACGCCUAGGGCUACACACGUACUACAAUGGCGCAUACAAAGGGCAGCGAUACCGCGAGGUGGAGCCAAUCCCAAAAAGUGCGUCCCAGUCCGGAUUGCAGUCUGCAACUCGACUGCAUGAAGUUGGAAUCGCUAGUAAUUCGAGAUCAGCAUGCUCGGGUGAAUGCGUUCCCGGGCCUU
Molecule: ribosomal RNA, 357 nt
Filed under: uncultured Desulfovibrio sp.
Lineage: Bacteria; Pseudomonadati; Thermodesulfobacteriota; Desulfovibrionia; Desulfovibrionales; Desulfovibrionaceae
Description: bacterial SSU rRNA
Rfam family: Bacterial small subunit ribosomal RNA
Source: RNAcentral